RNAcentral lists this long non-coding RNA (7774 nucleotides) under Hordeum vulgare. RNAcentral describes it as "long non-coding RNA (HVUL_LNC007711)". The record is from RNAcentral. Lineage: Eukaryota; Viridiplantae; Streptophyta; Magnoliopsida; Poales; Poaceae.
GUCAUAUCUCUUGAAUUACUCUCUCACUCUCCGAAUAAGUGAUUAAAUUUUGUAUUAUCUUUUAUAUAAAAUCAAUACAUAGGUAAGUCAUUUAUUUUAGAACGUACUAGUCUCUACUCCUAAUUGUCCAAUUUGUAGGUCAUCUUCUUGGAGUAAAAUGCAUCAGUGCACCCUAAACUUGCUGGUUAGGACUAAAACAGUCCUCAAACUGUGAAACUGCAUUAAUACAGUCCUAAUACUUGUUCCUACAGUGUUUAUACGGUCCUCCAAUUUGGUUCAUAGGUCCUGGCGUACAGGCAACAUACGAAUUCGCUGUACAGAGCAUAUUGGGGUGGCCACGUGAGCGUUCGUAGGCUGAGUUGACUUGGUCUCUAGUGGGCAGAAAUCCCCAAAUCGCUCUUAAAUCACUAACCCUCGCCAUGUGCUCCUGCAGCGCCCAAAUCCCUCCAUCAGCUGUCGCACUCAUGUAGCUACCACGCAUGUUGCCGGCCAUCAGAUUUGCACAAAUUAAGCACACAUAAGCAUUAUAUUUGCACUUGAACAAUCUGGUCAAUUAAGUUGCACAGUACAAAUAACACAAAGUCUGUAAUAGUUGUUUCCUAAUAAAAGACAGCUCUUCCACUUCAUGAUCAACGCAAUGAUCCUAAAAAAAAUAUUGCCAUUACAAGUUUUGCGCCUGAUCAUAAGCAGAAACACAAAAAAGAGAUGAGGAUUGUUCCAAACUUCACGUCCCUUUACCUAAAUUCAUCGAACAUGUUAACCUUUCUAGGUUUCUUAAAACAUGUCAUGUUCUGAUUGGUAGCUGCAGAUUUUUUCUUUGUAUUAUUUCCUUGAAUAGGGCAUGGAUUAAAUCUUGCCUCCUCGGCCCUUGAACUAGUUGCUGCAGCUCUUUGUUUUAUUUGUUCCUCCAACGCAGCUUGCUUCCUUGCUUGACCUGCCAUAUUGUCAUCCAUUGCUUUCUUGUUUGUUUCUUCAGCUCUCCUCUUUCUCAGCUCCCAUUCUUCAUUCCUUGUCGUGUCUUGUUGAUUGUUCUGUUGCUCCCAAGCAUUUUGCCUUGCAGCCUCCUCAUCCUCCUUGAAUUUUCUCCAACUCUCGUGCCUCUCAAACUCCUCUGCUUGAUGUAUUAGAAAAGCUGCCUCCUCCUGCUGGUAUUUUUUAUUUGUAAUCAUUUUCUUUUCCUCUGAAAUCCUUCUCUUCUCAGCAACCUUCUUUUGUUUUUCCAUCUCUGCAGUUCUUUUCCUCUCAUCCAUCAUUUUCCUUUUCUUCUCUGCCAUUUGAAGUUUCUCCUCUUGGGCUUUUCUCUUUUUUUCCUCAGUAGCUCUUCUCUUCUCUUCUGCAGCAAGUCUCUUUUCCUCUAGAAUAGUUUUCUUCUUUUCCUCAGCUGCUUGUUUCUUAGCUUCCAACUCUUCCUUUCUCUUUUGAGCUGCAAACUUAAUUUUGUCCUCUUCUUCUUUCAACUUUGCCAUAGCUGCUUCAAACUUUGCAAGGUCUGCAACUUCUCUUUUCUCAGCUGCAGCUCUUAGCUUUGCCAAUGCUAGAACCUCUCUUUUCCUGUGAAUAUUGCCCUCCUUUGUUGCUGUAGUAGGGAUAACUGGGGGCUGAGACAUGACAUGCUCCUCUAUGAAAACAGAAUUUGGCAACGGGCCUUGAUGGACUGCUUCCCUAUGGCUUGCUUCCCUCUGGCUUGCUUCUCUCUGAAACAGAAUUCAAUUUUACGAUCAUAGAUGAAACAUUUGUACAUGAACUUAUUAUGUGAAAUGAAAACAAAUGAUAUGUAAGUACCUCCUGUGUUAAAAUAUUAAUUAUGUCAGGCUGAUACACAUGUAGUGGCUCUUGAAUUAAACCUUCUGUCUGCUGAUUCUGUUCCUACAAACAGUAAAAGCGGGACAUUUUUUACAUGUUGAAGCAUAUAAUUACUAACAUAAUGAAGUCCAUGUAGCUAGAUAUAGGGACUCACAUGAGUUAGAACUGCUUCUUCCUCAUCCGAGGAGGAGGAAACAUCAGGCUCUGCUCUCACUCUGACCCUUUCAGACUUUUUCUUUGGUUUUAAACCUAACUUGAAGUCCGUACAACCACCAAUGUUAUGGCCAGCAACUCCACAAUAGCUGCAAUGGAUUAUUGCCCCUGCCCUUGUAAUUUUUACUCCUUUUUUGCCCUGUUUCUCUUCUGGCUGUUUUCUCCUGUUCUUCCUCCUCCUUCCUUUUUGCUUUAUGAAUGGUGGUGGUGCGAUAGUUCUGCCAUUCAUUUUGCUCCACUCACUAAUAUCUCUACAUGGCAUAAUAAUGUUUUCAUAUGCCUUGCAAUAUGUUGCAAUAGAAUAACAUGAGUUGACAUAAUCCUCUGGAUUGAUUUUGUCAUAUCUGAGAGCAGCUACUCCAUGACUGCAUGGAAUGCCAGACAAAUCCCAUCUCCUACAGCUGCACUUCCUCAAGUGGUAAUCAACCCCGUAGUCCACGCCUCUAUCAUUCACAUUAAAGAUUCCCAUUCCAGCUGGUGAAGCAUAGCAAGUUCUAGCAAAUUCCACAUUCUUGUCCAAUUUUUUCCUUAUCUUUGGACAUAUAGUACCUGGCCACUUCAAGGCCUCCUGCAACUUGCUAUGAUUUCUUCCCAUUAGUUGUCCCUUAAUCCUCUGGCACAUGCUGAUUAUAGGCAUCUCUCUUGCAUCCAAUAUAUACUUGUUGAACACCUCAGAAUUAUUGUUCAACAAGACAUCGCACUUUGGGAAUUCAUUUUGAAAUGCCCUAACCCAUGUUGUAGGAUCCAACUCCUCUAGCCAAUCAUGUGCCUCUUUGUUUAGAACUAACAUCUCAUUCAUGUUCUGUCUAAAUUUCCCUUCAGUACUACUUCUAGCACAUUUCCAGAGUUGGUUUUUGAGGGCCUCGCCUUUAAAAUUUUUGUUGAAAUUCUGCCAAAGAUGCCUAACACAAAAUCUAUGUGGGGAACCACUAAACAAUUCUUUCACUGCCUUUAUUAGACCCUGCCAUAAGUAAAUUAAUAAAGCAAGUGUUAACAAUAUUUAAAUGCAGCCCUGUACAGUAAGGAAAUCUUGAAAAAAAGGUAAGACACACUCACCUUUUGCUUGUCAGACAUGAUAGUCCAAAGAGCACUAUUCACAAUACCAAGAUCUUUCUUUAAAGUUGUCAAGAACCACCUCCAGGCCUUUGUAUCUUCUCUCGAAACCACUGCAUGUGCAAUAGGAAUUAUGCAAUCGUUUGGAUCCAUUCCUACUGCACUAAGUAGGAUGCCUCCAUAUUGUGUCUUCAAAUGACAACCAUCGAGGAAAAGAAUAGGCCUACAAGCUGAUAGGAAACCCCUCUUACAAGCAUCAAAGGAAAAGUAGCAUUUCUCAAACUGGCCAUCUUCAGCAAGGUCUAAAUAAAAUGUACUUCCUGGAUUGGAUCUCCUCAACUCAUUUGCAUAGUCCCACAACUUGUUGUAUUGUGCUAUUUCAUCUCCAUAUAUAAUAUUGAAAGCUAGUCCUCUGGCCCUCCCUAGCUUCCCUCUUUUAAUUGUCAUGUUGAAAUCUUCCUGCACAAGUGCUGCCAAUCCCUUGAGGGUCAUCUUCUCAUUAGCUCUUAUUUUCUCUACAUACUUGUUAGCAAUGUACUUGGCAGUAAAUGCCCUCACUUGCCACUUCUUGCUACAAUGAUGCACAUCAUUGAAGGUUUUCACCAUAACUGAAUCUGUCCUUUUGUCCAAUGAGGCAUAAAGAUACCAUGGACAUCCAUCCUCACACUUAGCUCCAAUCCUACAUUUAUCAUUCUUGGGAAAUGUGAUGCUCACUCUCUCUUUCACACUAUACUCCCUGAUUGCUCUUCGUAGCAAAUCAACAGAUGAGAAUAGCUGCCCCACAUGGAACUUUGGAUCAUGCAUAUCUUCUGCUGUAAAAGAUUUGAAAUUGAACUUCAUCUCAUCCUCGUCCGACUCUGGAGCUUCUAAUUUCUCAUCUUCAGAUUUACAAUCCUCAACCACUUUCUUCCCUUUCCUAUCACUAACAGUAUGUAGUUGAUCCUGCACCAAGUCCCCAUCACCAUCCUCCAAUUCAUAAUCACUGUCUACAAUCUCGGGAACAUAAUCACUAUCUUCACUAUCAUCAUCAUCAUCAUCAUCAUCAUCAUCAUCAUCAUCGUCACAUCCUUCUUCAUCGACAUUUCCUCGCUUUGCUCUUGGCCUCAACCUAACAACUUCCUCAUUGCUUGCAAAUUUAUUGGCCUCACAAAUGGUGUUGUCGUCAACAUAACUGCCAUCAAUUGUGCUUUGCUCCUCACCACUAACAACAUCCAUGAUUUUCUUCUUAGGACUGAUAACAUGAGGUAAAUAUACUAGUGGAGUGGCAAGCACAUCAUCCCAUGUUGAUCCUCCUCCACCAUUGUAGCUGCUUUCAUGAUCUAGAAAAAUCAUCAAGUAUCGGUGCCCUCCUUUUAUCAUUCUCACAAUGUCAAUACAAACUUCGUCUUCCUUCGAUAACAACCUUGCACCAUCUUCAUUCAGUUGAGAGCCAGGUAGCAACCAAUACAUGGAAACCCUACCAUCCAUCUCAUACCCAAUAUGCUCUACCAAAUCUUCAAACAUCUUCAUGCAUACACACUCAGUUUCACAAAAAUCGUAGCAAGUCUUUUUCCCAUUCAGAUAGGCUCUGUUUCUUCCAUUGCCAUGGAAAAAUCCUCCAUGAACAAAUUCCAAAGUGAAAAAGUUACUGUCUUUCACUGCAAAAAGAGCAAAGUUUAACUAAUUCAGUCAUUCAGUUUGAGAUAAACCCUACAAUUACCUAAACCCUAGCCUAAUGUGAGUCAGAUGCCACCAAAUUAGUGCAUAAAUCAUGGGGGAUCGCUAAACAACUGCCUAAUCUAGUGGGAAACACUUUUCAUGGGCAAAUUUUCACAAUCAUGUGGGAAAUUUGACACUCACCGUACGUGGGUGCCACCCCUUUCUCAUGGCGUUGUACAGGGCCGACCAUUGCUGCCGUGAACCGCCGCUAGUAGUUACGGGAGUGCGGCUCUGCGUUCCUUCACCGUUCCUGGUGCUCGCAUAGACCGUCAGAGGUGCCGAUCAACCAGCCCCUUCCACCGUGUCCCUACUCUCUGUGCUCGUGACUCGAAACAGGGGAAGAAGAGAGUCUCGUCCAGAUCAGGGGAAACAGGGGAAGAAGAGAGUCUCGUCCAGAUCAGGGCAGAUGGGGAAUUUUGUACGUGCAGCAGGGGCCGAACACAAAGUGCACAUCUCUUUACUUCCUCAUGCUGACGUGGCUAGUCUAUGUACAGCCCUUUCGUAUGUUGCCUGUACGCCAGGACCUAUGAACCAAAUUGGAGGACCGUAUAAACACUGUAGGAACAAGUAUUAGGACUGUAUUAAUGCAGUUUCACAGUUUGAGGACUGUUUUAGUCCUANNNNNNNNNNNNNNNNNNNNNNNNNNNNNNNNNNNNNNNNNNNNNNNNNNNNNNNNNNNNNNNNNNNNNNNNNNNNNNNNNGGACUGUUUUAGUCCUAGCCAGCAAGUUUAGGGUGCACUGAUGCAUUUUACUCCAUCUUCUUGCUUCGUAAACCCCUCUCCCCAACAGAUUUUUUAACGUAAAUCCCACCUUAAUCUGAUUUCAUUAUUGGUUUUUCUUGCCAUAUCAAUCGAUCGUAACUAAGGAAACUCAUAAUCUGAAUGUAUGGAAAAAUUUCACGUGAUUAUUCAAACAUGUAUUUGUAGGAAAAAAUCAAUAAGGAUCAAUCUCUAAUCAAUUCUCAUAGACUAGAUCUAAAUUAAUUAAUCUUAUCAUGCGUCGCUCAAUCGCAUUAAUUAAUUUUUCUAUACUUUAUCCAAUUUAUAUUAAUUAACUUUACCACACGUCGUCAAAUCUUUACUUCUAGGGGGGGGGGGCUUAGUUGUUUCGCCUCACCUUCCACCAUCCUUUUUUAUGCCGGGUUUUAUCCCUUGCACAUUUUUCCGAUUUUUUCUCAACUCAAACACACCUUCCCAUUUGUUAUACCGACUUUUAUAAUUUGAGAAAAUUUGGAUGUAUCAAAACUUUUCGUAUGGGUGCAAGUUAUUUAGUAGUGUCUUUAUGGACAAGAAUCAAUGAGAUCAAUCUCUAACCACCAAUUUUCAAUUGAUUAAUCUUACCAUACAUAGUUCAACUACAUUAAUUAAUCUUUUCAUAUGUCGCUCAAUCGAAUUAAUUAAUCUUUGUAUGUGUCGCUUAAUCACAUUAAUUAAUCUUUAUUCUUAAAGGGGAGUUGCUAGGUUGUUUCCCUUUGCUUCGUAUCUAAUCGAACGACGACGUCCGCUCCUCUACACUCCUCUGUUGCCAAGCACAUGGGACAAGACCAGUCCUCGGAGGCAGUCCAGAGCACAACCACCCCUAGCCCGUCCCUUAACUCCUUGGUCGUGCCUUGUACUCGUGCCUUUGGUCCAUGCCACCAUCUCGAUUACUUUCCAUCAUAUAAGUUGCUUACCUAGUUGCACUUCUAGAUAACCUAUUUGUUGCUAAACUUAAUUUAUUGAAUAAAAGAAAAAAGUUGGUAGUUGUCUAUUCACCCCCCUUCUAGUCAACCAUAUCGAUCCUUUCCAAUGCAUCCCCCUAGAUGGGGACAAGUUCUCCCCUUUGGUCCUUGGCCUCCAUGGCGCUCGGAGGGUGAGAGCCCCCCGAGAUUGGAUCUCUCUCUAUGUGUUUUCUUCUCUCGUUCGCGUAUGUUUCCUCGCGUUUCGCCAUUUCUUCUAUUCCCGGAGAUUCGUAACUCGGAUUGGCCUGAAAUUUUAAGAGAAUUUUUAUCCAGAAAUUAUCUUUCUUGCGGCGAAAGACGAGCUCCAACCGCCUUACGAGGUGCCCAUAAGGCAACCCGGAGCGCCCACAUGGGUGGGUGUACCCUGUUGCCAUGUAGGGCCCUCGAGCAUCGCCUUGCAUUGAUUCUUCCUAAAAUUUCACAUAUAUUCUAAAAUAUUUUUUUGUAAAAUUUUAUUGUGUUUGGACUUUGUUUGAUAUUUCUGCAAAACAAAAAACAUGCAUAAAACAUGAACUCACACUUGGCACUAGAUUAAUAAGUUACUCCAUAGAAAUCAUAUAAAAAUGCGUCAAAACCAUAUAAAAUUAUUGCAAACAUGGCAUGAAUACUUCAUAAAUUAUAGAUACAUUGGAUACUGAUACGUCUCCAACGUAUCUAUAAUUUUUUAUUGUUCCAUGUUGAUAUAUUAUCAUACUAGAGUGCUUUUGGGAUAUUUAUUUACCAUUUUUUUAUUUUUGAGCACUAACCUAUUGACCCAGUGACGAGUGCUAGUUCAUGUUUUCUGCAUGUUUUCACUUUUCAGCUUUUCCAUACCAAACGAAGUCCAAUUGAUGUGAAACUUCUUGGUGAUUGUUUCUGGACCAAAGGAAGAGAAACAAGUAUCGGAAGAAGGCCGAGAGCCACACAAGCCAACCCGACGUGGUCUGGGGGCGUCAUGUUGGCUUCUGGGGCUCUCGAGGUCCUUCCGACUUUGUUAUCUUGCUUAUAAAUUUACAUAUAUCCUAAAAACAUCAGAGGGGUCCCGAAACCAUUUUUACGUCGUCGUAAUUCUCUGUUUCGACGGGAGGCCAUCUGGAGUUGCGUUCCGGCACUCUGACGGAGAGGCAAUCAAUUACGGAGGGAGUCUCGAAACAUCAGAGAGAGUCUCGAAACAUCAGAGAGAGUCUCGAAACAUCAGAGGGAGUCCCGAAACACUUUGUAUGAUGAGUAGAAUUGAUACGGUGCAAAAACAUACAUUUUGACGUUCAGUGCAUAAUUUAUCUAAUUUUACUCGAACGUCUUUUUAAG